ACGCUCGACACCUACGGGAGGCAGCAGUUGGGAAUAUUGGACAAUGGAGGAAACUCUGAUCCAGUGACGCCGCGUGAAGGAAGAAGGUCUUCGGAUUGUAAACUUAUUUUGUCAGGGAAGAAAAAUGACUGUACCUGAAGAAAAAGCACCGGCUAACUACGUUCCAGCAGCCGCGGUAAUCUGAGCGGGCUGGCAAGGC
This 199-nucleotide ribosomal RNA is filed under the name uncultured bacterium. Its description in RNAcentral is "partial 16S ribosomal RNA". It matches the Rfam family "Bacterial small subunit ribosomal RNA", at positions 328 to 539 of the family's 1533-position model. The record is from RNAcentral.